Molecule: ribosomal RNA, 301 nt
Filed under: uncultured bacterium
Lineage: Bacteria
Description: partial 16S ribosomal RNA
Rfam family: Bacterial small subunit ribosomal RNA
Source: RNAcentral
CAGUAGCCGCGGUAAUACGAAGGGGGCUAGCGUUGUUCGGAAUUACUGGGCGUAAAGCGCACGUAGGCGGAUCAAUCAGUCAGGGGUGAAAUCCCAGGGCUCAACCCUGGAACUGCCUUUGAUACUGUCGAUCUGGAGUAUGGAAGAGGUGAGUGGAAUUCCGAGUGUAGAGGUGAAAUUCGUAGAUAUUCGGAGGAACACCAGUGGCGAAGGCGGCUCACUGGUCCAUUACUGACGCUGAGGUGCGAAAGCGUGGGGAGCAAACAGGAUUAGAUACCCCUGUAGUCCCUGUCUCUUAUAA